This 796-nucleotide ribosomal RNA is filed under the name uncultured bacterium. RNAcentral's name for it is "bacterial SSU rRNA". It matches the Rfam family "Bacterial small subunit ribosomal RNA", at positions 30 to 816 of the family's 1533-position model. The record is from RNAcentral.
AGAACGCUAGCCGGCAGGUAUGAAUACAUGCAGUCGUGGGGCAGCAUGAAUGUAGCAAUACAUUUGAUGGCGACCGGCAAACGGGUGCGGAACACGUACACAACCUUCCUAUAAGUGGGGAAUAGCCCAGAGAAAUUUGGAUUAAUACCCCGUAACAUAACGAUGUGGCAUCACAUUGUUAUUAUAGCUUCGGCGCUUAUUGAUGGGUGUGCGGCUGAUUAGAUAGUUGGCGGGGUAACGGCCCACCAAGUCUACGAUCAGUAGCUGAUGUGAGAGCAUGAUCAGCCACACGGGCACUGAGACACGGGCCCGACUCCUACGGGAGGCAGCAGUAAGGAAUAUUGGUCAAUGGACGCAAGUCUGAACCAGCCAUGCCGCGUGAAGGAUUAAGGUCCUCUGGAUUGUAAACUUCUUUUAUCUGGGACGAAAAAAGGCGAUUCUUCGUCACUUGACGGUACCAGAUGAAUAAGCACCGGCUAACUCCGUGCCAGCAGCCGCGGUAAUACGGAGGGUGCAAGCGUUAUCCGGAUUCACUGGGUUUAAAGGGUGCGUAGGCGGGCAGGUAAGUCAGUGGUGAAAUCCUGGAGCUUAACUCCAGAACUGCCAUUGAUACUAUCUGUCUUGAAUAUUGUGGAGGUAAGCGGAAUAUGUCAUGUAGCGGUGAAAUGCUUAGAUAUGACAUAGAACACCUAUCGCGAAGGCAGCUUACUACGCAUAUAUUGACGCUGAGGCACGAAAGCGUGGGGAUCAAACAGGAUUAGAUACCCUGGUAGUCCACGCCCUAAACGAUGGAUAC